This 74-nucleotide transfer RNA is filed under the name Candidatus Yanofskybacteria bacterium CG10_big_fil_rev_8_21_14_0_10_36_16. RNAcentral describes it as "tRNA-Ala". It matches the Rfam family "tRNA". Rfam says of the family: Transfer RNA (tRNA) molecules are approximately 80 nucleotides in length. Their secondary structure includes four short double-helical elements and three loops (D, anti-codon, and T loops). Lineage: Bacteria; Candidatus Yanofskyibacteriota. The record is from RNAcentral.
GGGCCCAUAGUCUAGUGGCACGACGCGACAUUCGCAUUGUCGAGGCGCGAGUUCGAUUCUCGCUGGGUCCACCA